RNAcentral lists this unclassified non-coding RNA (279 nucleotides) under plant metagenome. Its description in RNAcentral is "partial contains small subunit ribosomal RNA, internal transcribed spacer 1, and 5.8S ribosomal RNA". The record is from RNAcentral.
UUUCCGUAGGUGAACCUGCGGAAGGAUCAUUAAUGGUUAGUGAAAUAUGACGCUGCUUCUAUCUCUCUCCGGAGUGUAUGUGCACGCUUGUUAUCCUUUAUUUCCACCACUGUCCACCAAUUGUAGUUCUUUCAGAAGUCCUAUGUUGUAUUUUACAAUCUCUGAAUGUAAUAAAAUGGUUUUGACUCUUGGGAAAUACAAUACAACUUUCAGCAACGGAACUCUUGGCUCUCGCAUCGAUGAAGAACGCAACAGAUGGGACGAGCACACGUCUGAACU